ACCGACGGCCGGAGGAAGCGCUGACCUUCGUGCUACAGUGGCGCGGUGGCAACGUCGACCCGACUGCGCGUUGGCCCCCGCACGCCAUCCCCAGCAUGGCCGAGCCCGCCCACCCGCCCCUCCCUCCCAUCGUCCGACUGCAGCGACGUCCUUGCUGGUGCCUCCGGACCCUCCUCCUAUCCCUGCGGCUGGUCCUUCCCCUCCGACUCGGGCGCGGGUCUAAGCCUCCAGCCCAAGGUGUGCGUGCAGACGAGCACCUGCGCGGGGCUUGAGCAGAUCCUGCGCUGACUCUUCUAUCACAAGGUCGUCGGUGUCGCGCAGUUUCUGCUCUUCGUUGAGGGGAGGGCGGCCGAACCCAAUGUCGUCGGAGUCCUCGAGUUCAUUCCUGUGGGUGACAUUUUAUUCUGAGUGCGUUUCUGUUCUCCAUUCUUGUCCCAGUGCUAAUUUGAGUGCCUUUAUAUUCCUGAUGCUGCAAGUGGGGUAAAAGUGGUGUACAGAACAAAGAAUUUUGAGGAGCAGAAGGCGAGGUGUGUUCUUUUCUGCCACCAACCACAUACUUUUUGAAAUCAGAAAGCACAUGGUUCUUGGUUCAGACAAAAUUAAGUCAGAGCACAUCAAACCAAUGAUGGAUGAUGAAGGAUUAUACCGAUCAGGAAUGUGUAGGACAUGUCCAUGACUAUAGCUGUAUAAGAAAAUCCUAUAUUUUAAACACCAGCAUUGUUAUCAUGUAAUUUAUACCUCUUGUUUCGGGAAGGCUAACAUGACCACUACUCCUUGACAAGUGAAAAUUUGAGCGGAGAACAAUGUCAAUCUUGGCCAUGACAAGAAAUCUAGGUGGCACUUUUCUGCAUGUAUUUUCCAAGAAGCAAGCACAAUUGAAAACGGUGGCCGAAUAAAAAAGGAAGAAGCAAGCACCUACAUGCGCUUACAGUUAGGAGACCUAAUGAAGGAUGAUAGGGCAAUUGAUGGAAUUAUUGGGUUAGGACAGAUUGACUGUCAUUUCUCAACUGAUGAAACGUUUUUUGGAUGUCCCUGAAAGUGUUUUCUCAUUGCCUGGAAGGUUCAGAUUGCGGAAGAUGCAUUCUUGUUCUUGGUGAACUUAUGGAGGCAGGCUUAGUUUACACUGCACUUGUUCCAUCACAGGAAGUUCCUCCCCUGGAAUUGCUUUAUUUGGCUCUAAAACUUCAUAUAUUUGCAUUGCUAUCUUAUGUUUCAGUAGUCCUACUUUAGUGACUGUUGUGAUAACUUUUAGAUGUAACAAUAUACACUUAAUAAAUUGUGACACCUAACAAUAUAGCUUAGUAUAUGAACUGUUGGUUCUUGAUUACAUCUAACAAUUUAUUUGGGUGUAAAACAUUUAGGAACUGUCAUGAACAACCAUUUUCUUGCAUUGAUAAGUUCUGAAGCCUCCUGUUCUUGUACUAUUCCUGAUACAAUAACCUAUUUGCUCAUAUCUAACUUGAAAGUUACCGUCACAGUUAUCUAAUUCUCGCAUUUUGUGCUUCUAUACGUGUUGUUUCAUUCAUAUUGCUGGGCAGGCUGUAGGGUGUGCUUAAGUACUUCGGCAAGCUAGCAGGCCACCUUUUGGAGUGCUGUUUACCUUAGUGAAAGAUGAAGUGCUACUGCGAGUUGCGGUCUAUUGCAAGCCUUAGCUUUCUUAGUUUCCAUGAGUAUCACAAGUGAGUAUUUAUAUCUUAUUUGUAAUAGACUCCAUGUAAUUUUGCUUUGAUUUCUUAAAUGAAUCAGUAGUGCUCCCUGCUUUAGCUUUAGAAAAAACAUUAGUUGGCACAAUAGGCAUAUAUCUAUCAAAUUUUUUUUUCUCA
This is a long non-coding RNA of Panicum virgatum (switchgrass), 1823 nucleotides long. RefSeq lists it as uncharacterized. NCBI's taxonomy places the organism in Eukaryota, Viridiplantae, Streptophyta, Magnoliopsida, Poales, Poaceae. The transcript is spliced from 2 exons. The record is from RefSeq and is a predicted model, not a curated record.